RNAcentral lists this ribosomal RNA (440 nucleotides) under uncultured bacterium. Its description in RNAcentral is "partial 16S ribosomal RNA". It matches the Rfam family "Bacterial small subunit ribosomal RNA", at positions 338 to 795 of the family's 1533-position model. The record is from RNAcentral.
CCUACGGGAGGCAGCAGUAGGGAAUAUUGCUCAAUGGGGGAAACCCUGAAGCAGCAACGCCGCGUGAAGGAUGAAGGUUUUCGGAUUGUAAACCCCUUUUGUUAGAGAAGAUAAUGACGGUAUCUAACGAAUAAGCACCGGCUAACUACGUGCCAGCAGCCGCGGUAAUACGGAGGGUGCAAGCGUUACCCGGAAUCACUGGGCGUAAAGGGCGCGUAGGCGGGUUAGCAAGUCAGAUGUGAAAUCCUAGGGCUUAACCCUAGAACUGCUGUUGAAACUGUUAUUCUGGAGUAUGGUAGAGGUAGGUGGAAUUCUUGGUGUAGCGGUGAAAUCCGUAGAGAUCAAGAGGAAUACUCAUUGCGAAGGCGACCUGCUAGAACAUAACUGACGCUGAGGCGCGAAAGCGUGGGGAGCAAACAGGAUUAGAUACCCGGGUAGUC